GGGGUGGUGGCGCAGUUGGUUAUCGCGUAGGUCUCAUAGCUUGAGUAAUCCUGAGGUCGAGAGUUCGAGCCUCUCUCACCCCA
Non-coding RNA from Musa acuminata subsp. malaccensis (wild Malaysian banana), 83 nucleotides. NCBI's taxonomy places the organism in Eukaryota, Viridiplantae, Streptophyta, Magnoliopsida, Zingiberales, Musaceae. The record is from Rfam.